AAAUAGAUACCCGGGGUAGUCCACGCCGUAAAACGAUGAGUGCUAAGUGUUAGAGGGUUUUCCGCCCUUUAGUGCUGCAGCUAACGCAUUAAGCACUCCGCCUGGGGAGUACGGCCGCAAGGCUGAAACUCAAAGGAAUUGACGGGGGCCCGCACAAGCGGUGGAGCAUGUGGUUUAAUUCGAAGCAACGCGAAGAACCUUACCAGGUCUUGACAUCCUCUGCCAACCCUAGAGAUAGGGCGUUCCCCUUCGGGGGACAGAGUGACAGGUGGUGCAUGGUUGUCGUCAGCUCGUGUCGUGAGAUGUUGGGUUAAGUCCCGCAACGAGCGCAACCCUUGAUCUUAGUUGCCAGCAUUCAGUUGGGCACUCUAAGGUGACUGCCGGUGACAAACCGGAGGAAGGUGGGGAUGACGUCAAAUCAUCAUGCUCCUUAUGACCUGGGCUACACACGUGCUACAAUGGAUGGUACAAAGAGCUGCGAACCCGCGAGGGUAAGCCAAUCUCAUAAAGCCAUUCUCAGUUCGGAUUGU
Molecule: ribosomal RNA, 530 nt
Filed under: uncultured bacterium
Lineage: Bacteria
Description: bacterial SSU rRNA
Rfam family: Bacterial small subunit ribosomal RNA
Source: RNAcentral